AAAAAAUAUCCCACUUUGGCACUCCCUAUUGGUAGCCAUGGAAAUAACUGGGCUUAAGUAUAACAAUGCCAGAAGAGUAAUGUAAAAUGAUAAUAGUAUUUUAUAUUUUAAUUGGUAAUUUGCAUGAUGGUUUCCAGACACUAACAAUUACAUUUAUGGUACGAAUCGUUUUAUUGUUUUAAAAAACAUUGAUAUCUGAUAGUCAAAUAACCAUAACCUAACCGUAUGCAAUCAAAAACUAAAUAAGUUCAGCAUUCACCAGUUUAUGAUUUAACAUGUCAGUUUGUGGGCUUAUUAUUAUUAUUAUUAUUGUUAUGGGUCUCAAUGUAUGCAUGAUGUGUACUUGAGAAUUCAAAGCAGCCCUUUGAGGCAACACACUAAACCAUGGGCUCUGUGGUCCCUGCCACUGGAGAGAUAGCUGGUCCACUUUGAUUUGAUUUCACUGCUGAGUGUCUGGACUCCUUCAAGAGAUCAACUGGUGCCCUCCAGGAGCUAAAUGUAUCACUGCUGCUCUUCAUCUCUCUCAGUGCUGCUGAUCCAGAGGCAUUAGUGGUCACAUACUCACAGAGGGAAAACCGCUUUCAUGGAGAGCAUCAAACAUUCAAUGAAUAGUCCCUCAAAUCUAUGUGAACUUUAGACUUUUGCUGAACCUGUGGUCCCUUAUUGUGCUUUUUUUUUUUUUUUUGCUGUCACUAUGAUUUCAGUUUGUGAUUUUCUUAAAUAUUCUUUUUUUUCAUUUUCCUUUUUCCUCUGUCUGUUUUCAUGUUUGUGGUGUCCUAUAUUUAACCUGUAUUCACUGUUCUCUGUAUUCUUCAGUUGUUAACACAUAUGCUUUGACUAGGGAGCACUUUGAUUGUUGUACUGUUGAGUGCUUAAAAAGAAUGCAACUGGACUUCUUUGGGUUUUUUUUGAAGAUGCUUCUUCAGCUCUAGAACAACUGGUGGAGAUUCCCAGGUAAGAAUGUCAGACAUCAGCCAUGGAGGAGCAGAAUGACAGAAAAAACAACACUGUCAUCCCUUAUGCAGCAGGCUCUAAAAAACUCCAAAGACCCUUCUGGUGUAUUUCAGCAGCACCCUCAGACAAAAACUGUUUAAUUCCAAGGGAAAAAACCACUCAAGUAGAAGCUAAACAAGGUAAUGUGGUGCAGCUCAGUGAGGUGUGCUCAGACUUCUGGAUAGAAGAAACCACUUUCUGAAGGUCUUUCAAAGUUUUUCUUUGGAUAUUGGUUGUUUUUUCCUUGUACUUGACCCUUUUCAAAUUUCCUUUUUUGUUUGUUAACCCACUUAAAGGCUAAUCUACAAUCAGGUCUGCAGUGGAACAGAAAAAAACCAGCCCUUGCAUUUUUGUAGUGGUUGGUUUAUUUCUUAGUUGCUAUUUAAAGAAACCACAAGAAGCUUCCUUAAGAGAGUUCAGGCUGUGCUGAAGAAUAAAGGUGGUCAUAAAAAAUACUGACUGUUUUUGCUACUUCGAUGUGUAUUUGCAUGUUUCAAUAAAUCUCUGC
Long non-coding RNA from Astatotilapia calliptera (eastern happy), 1501 nucleotides. Lineage: Eukaryota; Metazoa; Chordata; Actinopteri; Cichliformes; Cichlidae. The record is from Ensembl.